UUCUUAGCUCAGCUGGUCAGAGCGCUCGGCUCAUAACCGAUUGGUCGUAGGUUCAAGUCCUACAGAAUC
Molecule: transfer RNA, 69 nt
Filed under: Helicobacter pylori
Lineage: Bacteria; Pseudomonadati; Campylobacterota; Epsilonproteobacteria; Campylobacterales; Helicobacteraceae
Rfam family: tRNA
About the family: Transfer RNA (tRNA) molecules are approximately 80 nucleotides in length. Their secondary structure includes four short double-helical elements and three loops (D, anti-codon, and T loops).
Source: RNAcentral